AGAGUUUGAUCCUGGCUCAGGAUGAACGCUGGCGGUAUGCUUAACACAUGCAAGUCGAACGCAACUUUUCGGAGUUGAGUGGCGGACGGGUGAGUAAAGCGUGAGAAUCUGGCCUUAGGUUCGGGACAACCACUGGAAACGGUGGCUAACACCGGAUAUGCCUGCGGGUGAAAAAUUAAUUGCCUGAGGGGGAGCUCGCGUCUGAUUAGCUAGUUGGUAGGGUAAGAGCCUACCAAGGCGACGAUCAGUAGCUGGUCUGAGAGGACGAUCAGCCACACUGGGACUGAGACACGGCCCAGACUCCUACGGGAGGCAGCAGUGGGGAAUUUUCCGCAAUGGGCGAAAGCCUGACGGAGCAAUACCGCGUGAGGGAGGAAGGCUCUUGGGUUGUAAACCUCUUUUCUCUGGGAAGAAGACCUGACGGUACCAGAGGAAUCAGCAUCGGCUAACUCCGUGCCAGCAGCCGCGGUAAUACGGAGGAUGCAAGCGUUAUCCGGAAUGAUUGGGCGUAAAGCGUCCGCAGGUGGCAGUUCAAGUCUGCUGUUAAAGAUUGGGGCUCAACCCCGACACAGCAGUGGAAACUGAACAGCUAGAGUGCGGUAGGGGCGGAGGGAAUUCCUGGUGUAGCGGUGAAAUGCGUAGAGAUCAGGAAGAACACCGGUGGCGAAAGCGCUCUGCUAAACCGCAACUGACACUCAGGGACGAAAGCUAGGGGAGCGAAUGGGAUUAGAUACCCCAGUAGUCC
This 745-nucleotide ribosomal RNA is filed under the name uncultured bacterium. RNAcentral describes it as "bacterial SSU rRNA". It matches the Rfam family "Bacterial small subunit ribosomal RNA", at positions 8 to 796 of the family's 1533-position model. The record is from RNAcentral.